GGCGAGUGAGCGGCAAAAGCUCAAAUUUGAAAUCUAGCACCUUCGGUGUUCGAGUUGUAAUUUGAAGAUGGUAACCUUGGGUUUGGCUCUUGUCUAUGUUCCUUGGAACAGGACGUCAUAGAGGGUGAGAAUCCCGUCUGAUGAGAUGCCCAUUCCUAUGUAAGGUGCUAUCGAAGAGUCGAGUUGUUUGGGAAUGCAGCCUCUAAGUGGGUGGUAAAUUCCAUCUAAAGCUAAAUAUUGGCGAGAGACCGAUAGCGAACAAGUACAGUGAUGGAAAGAUGAAAAGAACUUUGAAAAGAGAGUGAAAAAGUACGUGAAAUUGUUGAAAGGGAAGGGCAUUAGAUCAGACUUGGUGUUUUACGAUUAUCUUCUCUUCUUGAGUUGUGCACUCGUAUUUCACUGGGCCAGCAUCGAUUCGGAUGGCAAGAUAAUGGCAGUUGAAUGUGGCUUCACUUCGGUGGAGUGUUAUAGCUUCUGCUGAUAUUGCCUGUCUGGAUCGAGGGCUGCGUCUUUUGACUAGGAUGCUGGCGUAAUGAUCUAAUGCCGCCCGUCUU
RNAcentral lists this ribosomal RNA (554 nucleotides) under Wickerhamomyces sp. S532Y18. RNAcentral's name for it is "eukaryotic LSU rRNA". It matches the Rfam family "Eukaryotic large subunit ribosomal RNA", at positions 88 to 655 of the family's 3401-position model. Lineage: Eukaryota; Fungi; Ascomycota; Saccharomycetes; Phaffomycetales; Wickerhamomycetaceae. The record is from RNAcentral.